AGUGGAUGGGGAGCAACCUAGUUGUGCGUGUGUAAAGGUAGUGCCAAGAAAAGCGGUGAUCAUGAUGAAAAUCAAUUCCCGGUACCCGAAACCGACACAGGUGGGCAAGUAGAGAAUACUAAGGGGCGCGAGGUAACUCCCUCCAAGGAACUCGGCAAAAUGACCCCGUAACUUAGGGAGAAGGGGUGCCACCGAGAGGUGGUCGCAGUGAAGAGGCCCAGGCGACUGUUUAGCAAAAACAUAGGUCUCUGCAAACUCGAAAGAGGAGGUAUAGGGGCUGACGCCUGCCCAGUGCCGGAAGGUUAAAGAAGUUGGUCAGUCUUAGGAUGAAGCUAGCGACUGAAGCCCCGGUGAACGGCGGCCGUAACUAUAACGGUCCUAAGGUAGCGAAAUUCCUUGUCGGGUAAGUUCCGACCCGCACGAAAGGCGUAACGAUCUGGGCGCUGUCUCGGAGAGAGGCUCGGCGAAAUAGGAUUGUCUGUGAAGAUACGGACUACCUGCAUUUGGACAGAAAGACCCUAUGAAGCUUUACUGUAGCUUGGAAUUGUGUUCGGGCUUCCUGUGCGCAGGAUAGGUGGGAGGCGUAGAAGGUAUUCUUGUGGGGAUACUGGAGCCAACGGUGAGAUACCACUCUCAGGAGGCUAGAAUUCUAACUUAAUUAAGGACAGUUUCAGGUGGGUAGUUUGACUGGGGCGGUCGCCUCCAAAAAGGUAACGGAGGCGUACAAAGGUUCCCUCAGACUGGUUGGAAAUCAGUCGAAGAGUGCAAAGGCAGAAGGGAGCUUGACUGCGAGAAGUACAGUUCGAGCAGGGUGGAAACACGGUCUUAGUGAUCCGACGGUGCUGUGUGGAAGGGCCGUCGCUCAACGGAUAAAAGUUACUCUAGGAUAACAGGCUGAUCUCCCCCAAGAGUUCACAUCGACGGGGAGGUUUGGCACCUCGAUGUCGGCUCAUCGCAACCUGGGGCGGAAGUACGUCCCAAGGGUUGGGCUGUUCGCCCAUUAAAGCGGUACGUGAGCUGGGUUCAGAACGUCGUGAGACAGUUCGGUCCAUAUCCGAUGUAGGCGUGAGAAUAUUGAGAGGAGCCUUCCUUAGUACGAGAGGACCGGGAAGGACGCACCGCUGGUGUACCUGUUAUGAUGCCAAUUGUAAACGCAGGGUAGCCAAGUGCGGAGAGGAUAACCGCUGAAAGCAUCUAAGUGGGAAGCCCACCUCAAGAUGAGUAUUCUGGUGUAAGGUCACGGGAAGACGACCCGUAAAUAGGCACGAGGUGGAAGUGCAGAGAUGUAUGAAGCCGAAGUGUACUAAUAGACCGUCGGCUUGAC
This 1324-nucleotide ribosomal RNA is filed under the name metagenome. RNAcentral's name for it is "bacterial LSU rRNA". It matches the Rfam family "Bacterial large subunit ribosomal RNA", at positions 1561 to 2925 of the family's 2925-position model. The record is from RNAcentral.